UGGGGAAUUUUGGACAAUGGGGGAAACCCUGAUCCAGCCAUCCCGCGUGUGCGAUGAAGGCCUUCGGGUUGUAAAGCACUUUUGGCAGGAAAGAAACGUCGCGGGUUAAUACCCCGCGAAACUGACGGUACCUGCAGAAUAAGCACCGGCUAACUACGUGCCAGCAGCCGCGGUAAUACGUAGGGUGCAAGCGUUAAUCAGAAUUACUGGGCGUAAAGCGUGCGCAGGCGGUUCGGAAAGAAAGAUGUGAAAUCCCAGAGCUUAACUUUGGAACUGCAUUUUUAACUACCGGGCUAGAGUGUGUCAGAGGGAGGUGGAAUUCCGCGUGUAGCAGUGAAAUGCGUAGAUAUGCGGAGGAACACCGAUGGCGAAGGCAGCCUCCUGGGAUAACACUGACGCUCAUGCACGAAAGCGUGGGGAGCAAACAGGAUUAGAUACCCUGGUAGUCCACGCCCUAAACGAUGUCAACUAGCUGUUGGGGCCUUCGGGCCUUGGUAGCGCAGCUAACGCGUGAAGUUGACCGCCUGGGGAGUACGGUCGCAAGAUUAAAACUCAAAUGAAUUGAC
This 566-nucleotide ribosomal RNA is filed under the name uncultured bacterium. RNAcentral's name for it is "partial 16S ribosomal RNA". It matches the Rfam family "Bacterial small subunit ribosomal RNA", at positions 355 to 914 of the family's 1533-position model. The record is from RNAcentral.